This 711-nucleotide ribosomal RNA is filed under the name Escherichia coli. Its description in RNAcentral is "partial 23S ribosomal RNA". It matches the Rfam family "Bacterial large subunit ribosomal RNA", at positions 2238 to 2925 of the family's 2925-position model. Lineage: Bacteria; Pseudomonadati; Pseudomonadota; Gammaproteobacteria; Enterobacterales; Enterobacteriaceae. The record is from RNAcentral.
AUCCGGGUUGCGGACAGUGUCUGGUGGGUAGUUUGACUGGGGCGGUCUCCUCCUAAAGAGUAACGGAGGAGCACGAAGGUUGGCUAAUCCUGGUCGGACAUCAGGAGGUUAGUGCAAUGGCAUAAGCCAGCUUGACUGCGAGCGUGACGGCGCGAGCAGGUGCGAAAGCAGGUCAUAGUGAUCCGGUGGUUCUGAAUGGAAGGGCCAUCGCUCAACGGAUAAAAGGUACUCCGGGGAUAACAGGCUGAUACCGCCCAAGAGUUCAUAUCGACGGCGGUGUUUGGCACCUCGAUGUCGGCUCAUCACAUCCUGGGGCUGAAGUAGGUCCCAAGGGUAUGGCUGUUCGCCAUUUAAAGUGGUACGCGAGCUGGGUUUAGAACGUCGUGAGACAGUUCGGUCCCUAUCUGCCGUGGGCGCUGGAGAAUUGAGGGGGGCUGCUCCUAGUACGAGAGGACCGGAGUGGACGCAUCACUGGUGUUCGGGUUGUCAUGCCAAUGGCACUGCCCGGUAGCUAAAUGCGGAAGAGAUAAGUGCUGAAAGCAUCUAAGCACGAAACUUGCCCCGAGAUGAGUUCUCCCUGACUCCUUGAGAGUCCUGAAGGAACGUUGAAGACGACGACGUUGAUAGGCCGGAUGUGUAAGCGCAGCGAUGCGUUGAGCUAACCGGUACUAAUGAACCGUGAGGCUUAACCUUACAACGCCGAAGGUGUUU